AGAUUGAACGCUGGCGGCAGGCCUAACACAUGCAAGUCGAGCGGCAGCACGGGUACUUGUACCUGGUGGCGAGCGGCGGACGGGUGAGUAAUGCCUAGGAAUCUGCCUGGUAGUGGGGGAUAACGCUCGGAAACGGACGCUAAUACCGCAUACGUCCUACGGGAGAAAGCAGGGGACCUUCGGGCCUUGCGCUAUCAGAUGAGCCUAGGUCGAUUAGCUAGUUGGUGAGGUAAUGGCUCACCAAGGCGACGAUCCGUAACUGGUCUGAGAGGAUGAUCAGUCACACUGGAACUGAGACACGGUCCAGACUCCUACGGGAGGCAGCAGUGGGAAUAUUGGACAAUGGGCGAAAGCCUGAUCCAGCCAUGCCGCGUGUGUGAAGAAGGUCUUGGAUUGUAAAGCACUUUAAGUGGAGGAAGGCAGUUACCUAAUACGUAUCUGUUUGACGUUACGACAGAAUAAGCACGCUAACUCUAGUG
This 479-nucleotide ribosomal RNA is filed under the name uncultured soil bacterium. Its description in RNAcentral is "bacterial SSU rRNA". It matches the Rfam family "Bacterial small subunit ribosomal RNA", at positions 26 to 507 of the family's 1533-position model. The record is from RNAcentral.